Molecule: ribosomal RNA, 2781 nt
Filed under: Triticum aestivum (bread wheat)
Lineage: Eukaryota; Viridiplantae; Streptophyta; Magnoliopsida; Poales; Poaceae
Description: partial small subunit ribosomal RNA
Source: RNAcentral
AUGUUAAUGGGUCGGCAGAGGUACGACUCCCACUGGGAGGAAGUGAGGUUCAUCAAUGGCUACAUCUCGCUCGUGGUGUACGUCUUCGACGCCAUCAGAGGGGUCGGCUUCCUGGUGGUCACGUGGGCCACGGUGGUGCUCCUCGGUGGCUUCGUCUCGAUGAUCGACAUGGUGGAUUUUGGGCAGCUCACGCUGAUCACCCUCAUAGAGCUGCUCUGGAUAAACACCUCUUUCCUUGAAAGGAUGAGUGCUGCUGACCUGGUGAGGAUCUUCAAGGCGGUGAAAAACAAGAGAUGGCAGGUGCGCCGCCAUCACCCGGAUGAGCCAGGCAGCAAGAGAACUGCGGCGGUGCUACUUGUGCCAGCGAGAUGGGCUCUGGCGAUGGUUCAGAAUGUGGUGUUGAGCCUCUGCAUUGCCUCUGUGGUGUGUCUCUUGCUGUUUGGACCGUUGAUCACCACCUUGAUUUCAAUACUCGGUCUAAUUAGAGACGACCAUUACGGUGACACGGGCGAGGGCAGAGCAAACAUGGGCCUGGCACACGAUGUCGUGUAUGUCCUGUGUCUAGCCCAAGGUGCCUUGUUCAUGUAUAUAAUCGCCUUGUUACCCUCCAAGGAGAAGAAUGUGAAGCUAGUGAGCCAAGCAUACGGCUUCCUAGAUGGCGGUCAUUUAGUUUCAGGCUACUUGGACGAGAUCAAGAAAGGGUACUCCAAGAAGAUAUCAUCGCCCGGAGAACGAAACCUCAUCACAUAUGCUAUUGAGCUCAUGGAGUCCAUGUCGGCCCGUAGCUUCCUUUCCGGGGUGCUGAUACUAGACAGAGUACUCUCCCGGAAAAAUAUAGACAAGAUCAAAGCUCCUGAUUUGACCACACAAGAAGAAAAGCAGCAGCAAAUAUCAGAUUUAGAGGAAAUAGUUGGAGCUCCUUUGAAUAACAAGGAGCAGAGGAAAAAGAAGAGGGAGGAGUUGAGGAAGAAGAGGGAUGAGUGGAGAAACAAGAGGCAGCGGAGCCCGCAAACAGAGGAGGGGAUCAUCGUGCUGCAGUGCAGGAUAAUAAGGCAGGUGAUCGGGUCUGCAUCCACCACUCACAUUCUCCAGAAACUGCUUCAUAUGCUGGAUUCGAGGCGUCCAUCUGACAAACGGGCGAGGGAGGCCGCUGCGAGGAUAGUGAAGCACGUUGCCAGCGGGAUCUGUUUGGUCCAGUUCCCACGAGGGAUCCAAUGCAUAUCUUCACUCCUCAACUGUUUCGAAGAAUACUGCCGACUUCAGCCAUCAUCCUUCUCUUCAAUGAAUACAAACAGAGACACUACAAGGACUCCAUGGUCGUCAAAGGCAAACAAUGGUCAUGAUCAGGAACAAGACAGCAGCAUCCACACUUCGACACUGGAGUCAGAGUUGGAGUACUCAGAGUCAGAGUCAGAGUCAGAAUCAGAAUCACAUUCAGAGUCAGAUUCAGACAGGGGGAACGACCGGCCUAAGAUGCUCCAUGGCUACAAAGAGCUGGUUCUAAUUGGCCUGAAUAUCCUAUGGAGCCUCGCAGGCAGCGAGGACAACUGUGAAAUCAUAGGCAAAGCCAAAUAUCCUGUCUCAAAGAUCAUGGCGCCUGUUAGCUACGACCUAGUGCACCGCGCAGGUCAUAGUGAAUGGUCCACUAAGGUAGUAGAGAGAUCAUUGGCGGUGAUGCUUCGCCUAAUUGUGACUGCCAAGAGAGAAACUGCGACAGACCUGCUUCAACAGAUGUCAGAGGAUAAGGAAGCAAUCGCCACCAUGGAAAUAAUUGUUACCUGUGAAGAAUGUAAAGGCAGAGAAAUGCAGAUGAAGGCCAUGCAGAUCCUCGUGCAACUAUGCAUGGAGGGAACUGCAGACAGAGGUAAUCUCACUAAGAUGCUCGUAAGCAUCUUCGUUAAUGGUGAUACCGGUCACUCCAUCAGAGAGACUACAGUUAAAGCACUGGUGGUACUGUUUCUCAGCAGAAAAAGCGUCGCCCCUUUCCUCCCCAAGGAGGAACAUGAUGGGUUUGUCCAUGGCCUCACUAAAAUACUAGUAGGGGACGAUGACACAUGUAGAAAAAAUGCAGCAGAAAUUCUGGAGCAUCUAUGUAUCCAUUAUGCUGAGAAUGGUGAAUCUGUUGGUACACUCAAGAAUGCCAUGAUUGGAGUGAUGCCAAAGGUGCUUGAAGAAAUACUACUUGGUUGUGGGUCAACAGGGGAAAAAGGAAUUCCAAAGUAUACAGGAUCAGGUACUGAUGUUGAAAGCCAAGCCAUUGCCAACAAUGAUAAGAGCAACAACAGUACUUCCUCCCGUCCCAGGCAAAAGAAACACCACAAGUUGCAUGUUGCUCUGCUAUCCCUCUGCGUGACAGCAUGUGACAAACUAGACCUUGAUCUCGACGCAAUCUCGCUGGGAGAAGAAAGAGAUCAAGUUAGAGAUCCUGGGGAAUGCGUCGCGAUCAGCCUUGCUACGAAGAUGGUGCAGUUAAACAGGGGUCUCCUCACCGGCAACAGCUUGACAGCGAUGAGGCUUACCACUAGGAUGGUCAUAGCAGCAAUGAAGAAACUCAAGAGCCAUGGCAACGCCGCAAAACAAGCUGUUCUGGAGAGCCUCCUGGACUCGCUGUCCAGAGUUUCAGAGACCAUGCUGGAUCUCGAGGGCUGCAUGGUAUUUGCCACCAGGAUGAGCAAGACAAUGCCUGACAUUGCUGACACCCUCGAUUCCCUCAUGAAACAAGCACGGCAACUCCAUGGCGAAAUUAAGGGCCAAGACUCAGAAAUAGUACCAGCUAGCUAG